Dendroctonus ponderosae (mountain pine beetle) is the source of this 1521-nucleotide long non-coding RNA. RefSeq lists it as uncharacterized. The record is from RefSeq and is a predicted model, not a curated record. NCBI's taxonomy places the organism in Eukaryota, Metazoa, Arthropoda, Insecta, Coleoptera, Curculionidae. The transcript has 2 exons.
AUUUUUCAAGUAAUUAUUUUUACUGAAGUCAUCAUUAAAAUAAUAGACUGAUUGUUAUUAACGGACUUAUGUGGUUACUCUAUUCGGUUUACUCCCGCGCGUGCAAGUUUUUUCGUGCGUGCGUUAAUAAUAUCCAACUACGUAAAUUUAGUACUUAAUUAUUGAACAAAGAAAUACAUGUUUACUAACCUCAGAACAUCGUUUAUAUGUCUGAGACAGCAACAUCUUAUAGAGGUAGGCAAAGCUACCUAUACAUAGUCCAGCAUAUACAUAAUCAAAACAAUAACACUUAACUCAAAAACAGUAAUUAAACCAGUAAUCAAACUUCCCAAAACUCAAUAGCUGGCAUACAAUAUAAUGUGUAAAAUAUACUUUUUUUUACAAUAUAUUUGUGCUAAUCCAUUUUUUAAUAUUUUUCUUGUUAUAAUUUUUGGUGAUAUCUAGAAUAUUCAGAAUAGGAUUAUGUCUUUGGAAGACAAUUGUAAAUUUGUAUUGCUCGAAUGUUUUUAACACUCACUGCUUUCGUACACUUUGGUGGAAUUAUAAGUUUGUUUCUAGUUACACUACUAGAUGUUACAUAUGUUCAAAUCACACAUUCAUACGCAAAAAUCUGUUUUAAGUUUAAUAUUAUCUUGAUUGAAUUAUUUUAGUUGACAAUUCUUAAGAUUCUAAUCUAUGUCUUGACGUUGACAUAAAUGACUAUUAUUUUAUUUAUUAUAUUGUAUAUUUCUAUUUAUACUACAGGGCAUUACACAACACUUGUUUGAUUGAUUAAAGUAGUAUAUGUUUCUAGCUCGCAGUACAAUAAUGUGGGGAUUAUAAAAUGAAGUUGAACAUCCGACUAUUUUUCCAAUCAGAACCACUGGGUGGAAUGGCAAUUUAACAUCAGCCGAAGUCUGAUUUCUGAUCAACUUCAUUCAACUGAAUCAAGCAAUAUUUGUACUGCCCUUAUUCAACCGAUGUCCAAAAUCUGAAUUCACAUUGUGAAAGUACCUAAGUCAUGAUAAAAGCGUAUUUUGCUAAAUCCACAUUAUUGUGUAUUGUGUAUGUGUUUGUGUCUGAUAUCAUAUAUUUUUUUAUUAACAUGCAUAUAUUAAAAAAGCUGGUAACUUUAGUGAAAAGUCAUGUUAUCAACUACUCAUUUUGCAUAGGAUGCAAAAGAUUUUAUGCCGACGAUUGACUCGAAAAACCGAGAGCAAAGACAAGUAUAUUGAUUUAUCGAAAAGGAAUAGUUAUUGUAAUUAGCUCAACCAUGGGCAUCUAUAUACUGGAUUGGUUAAAUUGGGGCAAAGUUGCGCAGUCUAGAGCUUACUACAAUACUCAUUGAAAUUGAGCAGGCGACUGCUGUUUUCAUAUUGCACAACUAUUUUUAUAAAUGAGAAUCUGCCCACCAUUUCUUAAAGCCAAACAAAACGCAUUCGGACAGGCUCUGUGAAUAAUAAUAUAAAAAAGAAGAUACGCUUUGACUUGUAAUGUAUGUCAUUUAGUUUUUGUAAAAAAAUAUAGUUUAUUUUACGUAAA